AACGAACGCUGGCGGCAUGCCUAACACAUGCAAGUCGAACGAGACCUUCGGGUCUAGUGGCGCACGGGUGCGUAACGCGUGGGAAUCUGCCCUUGGGUCCGGAAUAACUCAGAGAAAUUUGAGCUAAUACCGGAUGAUGACGUAAGUCCAAAGAUUUAUCGCCCAGGGAUGAGCCCGCGUAGGAUUAGCUAGUUGGUGAGGUAAAGGCUCACCAAGGCGACGAUCCUUAGCNGGUCUGAGAGGAUGAUCAGCCACACUGGGACUGAGACACGGCCCAGACUCCUACGGGAGGCAGCAGUGGGAAUAUUGGACAAUGGGCGAAAGCCUGAUCCAGCAAUGCCGCGUGAGUGAUGAAGG
RNAcentral lists this ribosomal RNA (357 nucleotides) under uncultured bacterium. RNAcentral's name for it is "bacterial SSU rRNA". It matches the Rfam family "Bacterial small subunit ribosomal RNA", at positions 29 to 414 of the family's 1533-position model. The record is from RNAcentral.